RNAcentral lists this ribosomal RNA (2905 nucleotides) under Psychrobacillus lasiicapitis. RNAcentral's name for it is "23S ribosomal RNA". It matches the Rfam family "Bacterial large subunit ribosomal RNA". Lineage: Bacteria; Bacillati; Bacillota; Bacilli; Caryophanales; Bacillaceae. The record is from RNAcentral.
AACUUUUAGGUUAAGUUAAUAAGGGCGCACGGUGAAUGCCUUGGCACUAGGAGCCGAAGAAGGACGGCACUAACACCGAUAUGCUUCGGGGAGCUGUAAGUGAGCUUUGAUCCGGAGAUUUCCGAAUGGGGGAACCCACUGUUCGUAAUGGAGCAGUACAUUUGCGUGAAUACAUAGCGCAUCUGUGGCAUACCCAGGGAACUGAAACAUCUAAGUACCUGGAGGAAGAGAAAGAAAAAUCGAUUCCCUGAGUAGCGGCGAGCGAAACGGGAAUAGCCCAAACCAAGAGGCUUGCCUCUUGGGGUUGUAGGACACUCUACAUAGAGUUACAAAGGAAUGAGCUAGACGAAGCGAUCUGGAAAGGUCCGCAGGAUAGGGUAAAAGCCCCGUAGUCCAAAGUUCAUUCUCUCUUGAGUGUAUCCUGAGUACGGCGGAACACGUGAAAUUCCGUCGGAAUCCGGGAGGACCAUCUCCCAAGGCUAAAUACUCCCUAGUGACCGAUAGUGAACCAGUACCGUGAGGGAAAGGUGAAAAGCACCCCGGAAGGGGAGUGAAAUAGACCCUGAAACCGUGUGCCUACAAGUAGUCAGAGCCCGUUAAUGGGUGAUGGCGUGCCUUUUGUAGAAUGAACCGGCGAGUUACGAUUACAUGCAAGGUUAAGCUGAGAAAGCGGAGCCGCAGCGAAAGCGAGUCUGAAUAGGGCGAAUGAGUAUGUGGUCGUAGACCCGAAACCAGGUGAUCUACCCAUGUCCAGGAUGAAGGUAAGGUAACACUUACUGGAGGUCCGAACCCACGUACGUUGAAAAGUGCGGGGAUGAGGUGUGGGUAGCGGAGAAAUUCCAAUCGAACCUGGAGAUAGCUGGUUCUCUCCGAAAUAGCUUUAGGGCUAGCCUCAAACGCGAGAAUCUUGGAGGUAGAGCACUGUUUGGACUAGGGGCCCAUCCCGGGUUACCGAAUUCAGACAAACUCCGAAUGCCAAUGAUUUAUGUUUGGGAGUCAGACUGCGAGUGAUAAGAUCCGUAGUCAAGAGGGAAACAGCCCAGACCACCAGCUAAGGUCCCCAAGUAUUUGUUAAGUGGAAAAGGAUGUGGCGUUGCUUAGACAACCAGGAUGUUGGCUUAGAAGCAGCCAUCAUUUAAAGAGUGCGUAAUAGCUCACUGGUCGAGUGACGCUGCGCCGAAAAUGUAUCGGGGCUAAACAAAUCACCGAAGCUGUGGAUUGAUACCAACGGUAUCAAUCCACAGCUUCGGUGAUUUGUUNAUCAGUGGUAGGAGAGCGUUCUAAGGGCGUUGAAGUCAGACCGGAAGGACUGGUGGAGCGCUUAGAAGUGAGAAUGCCGGUAUGAGUAGCGAAAGAUGGGUGAGAAUCCCAUCCACCGUAUGACUAAGGUUUCCUGAGGAAGGCUCGUCCGCUCAGGGUUAGUCGGGACCUAAGCCGAGGCCGAUAGGCGUAGGCGAUGGACAACAGGUUGAUAUUCCUGUACCACCAAACCACCGUUUGAGUAAUGGGGGGACGCAGGAGGAUAGGGUAAGCGUGCUGUUGGUUAUGCACGUCCAAGCAGUGAGGCGUGAAUGUAGGAAAAUCCGCAUUCUAUAACGUUGAGCUGUGAUGGCGAGCUCGUAUGAGCGAAGUUCCUGAUUUCACACUGCCAAGAAAAGCCUCUAGCGAGGUGAUAGGUGCCCGUACCGCAAACCGACACAGGUAGUCGAGGAGAGAAUCCUAAGGUGAGCGAGAGAACUCUCGUUAAGGAACUCGGCAAAAUGACCCCGUAACUUCGGGAGAAGGGGUGCUCUCUCAGGCUUUCACCCGAAAGAGCACCCCUUCUCCCGAAGUUACGGGGUCAUUUUGNGGAAGGUUAAGAGGAGUGCUUAGCGCAAGCGAAGGUGCGAAUUGAAGCCCCAGUAAACGGCGGCCGUAACUAUAACGGUCCUAAGGUAGCGAAAUUCCUUGUCGGGUAAGUUCCGACCCGCACGAAAGGCGUAACGAUCUGGGCACUGUCUCAACGAGAGACUCGGUGAAAUUAUAGUACCUGUGAAGAUGCAGGUUACCCGCGACAGGACGGAAAGACCCCGUGGAGCUUUACUAUAGCUUGAUAUUGAAUUUUGGUGCAACUUGUACAGGAUAGGCAGGAGCCUUAGAGCCCGGAGCGCCAGCUUCGGAGGAGGCGUCGGUGGGAUACUGCCCUGGUUGUAUUGAAAUUCUAACCCAUACCCGUAACCCGGGUAGGAGACAGUGUCAGGCGGGUAGUUUGACUGGGGCGGUCGCCUCCUAAAGUGUAACGGAGGCGCCCAAAGGUUCCCUCAGAAUGGUUGGAAAUCAUUCGAAGAGUGUAAAGGCAGAAGGGAGCUUGACUGCGAGACCUACAAGUCGAGCAGGGUCGAAAGACGGGCUUAGUGAUCCGGUGGUUCCGCAUGGAAGGGCCAUCGCUCAACGGAUAAAAGCUACCCCGGGGAUAACAGGCUUAUCUCCCCCAAGAGUCCACAUCGACGGGGAGGUUUGGCACCUCGAUGUCGGCUCAUCGCAUCCUGGGGCUGUAGUCGGUCCCAAGGGUUGGGCUGUUCGCCCAUUAAAGCGGUACGCGAGCUGGGUUCAGAACGUCGUGAGACAGUUCGGUCCCUAUCCGUCGUGGGCGUAGGAAAUUUGAGAGGAGCUGUCCUUAGUACGAGAGGACCGGGAUGGACACACCGCUGGUGUACCAGUUGUUCUGCCAAGAGCAUCGCUGGGUAGCUAUGUGUGGACGGGAUAAGUGCUGAAAGCAUCUAAGCACGAAGCCCCCCUCAAGAUGAGAUUUCCCAUUACGCAAGUAAGUAAGAUCCCUCAAAGACGAUGAGGUAGAUAGGUUCGGGGUGGAAGCGUGGCGACACGUGCAGCUGACGAAUACUAAUCGAUCGAGGACUUAACCAAA